GACAGAGGGUGCAAACGUUGUUCGGAAUUACUGGGCGUAAAGCGUGUGUAGGCGGCUUGCCAAGUCGGAUGUGAAAGCCCCGGGCUCAACCUGGGAAGUGCACUCGAUACUGGCGAGCUAGAGUAUCGGAGAGGUUGGUGGAAUUCUCGGUGGAGAGGUGAAAUUCGUAGAUAUCGAGGGGAACACCAGUGGCGAAGGCGGCCAACUGGACGAAUACUGACGCUGAGACACGAAAGCGUGGGGAGCAAACAGG
Molecule: ribosomal RNA, 253 nt
Filed under: uncultured bacterium
Lineage: Bacteria
Description: partial 16S ribosomal RNA
Rfam family: Bacterial small subunit ribosomal RNA
Source: RNAcentral